AGGAUGAACGCUGGCGGCGUGCCUAACACAUGCAAGUCGAACGUCCUGUCUCGCAAGAGGCAGGGAGUGGCGGACGGGUGAGUACCACGUGGGUUAUCUACCGUGAGGUGAGGAAUACCGGCGAGAAAUCGCCGACAAGACCGCAUAGCCUCGGUGCAAGCCGAGGAAAGCUUUCUCGAGAGAGGGAGCGCCACACGAGGAGCCUGCGCCCGAUUAGCUAGCUGGUGGAGUAACGGUUCACCAGGGCGACGAUCGGUAGCUGGUCUGAGAGGACGAUCAGCCACACUGGGAUUGAGAACGGCCCAGACUCCUACGGGGGCAGCAGUGAGGAAUUUUCGUCAAUGGGGCAACCCUGAACGAGCAACGCCGCGUGCAGGAAGAAGGUUUUCGGAUCGUAAACUGCUUUUCGUCGGGGAAGAGAACGGACGGUACCCGAGGAAUCGAGCCCCGGCUAACUACGUGCCAGCAGCCGCGGUAA
RNAcentral lists this ribosomal RNA (478 nucleotides) under uncultured bacterium. Its description in RNAcentral is "SSU rRNA". It matches the Rfam family "Bacterial small subunit ribosomal RNA", at positions 26 to 523 of the family's 1533-position model. The record is from RNAcentral.